Molecule: non-coding RNA, 222 nt
Filed under: Verrucomicrobiota bacterium
Lineage: Bacteria; Pseudomonadati; Verrucomicrobiota
Source: RNAcentral
UUUUAAAAUCCGACAGCCGGCAAUGAAGCAAGCCGGCGGCGACAUUUUCAGGCAAACGGAAGUCCGUGAGAAUCGGACGCGGUCGCGCCUCUGUAAUCGUCCUCAAAAUCCGGGCACAAAGCCACUGCGCAAAGCGCGGGAAGGCGCACGGAAGGCGGGCGGGAAUUUUCCUCCCCCCGCCGGGACGCAAGCCAGAAGACGUGCCUGGAAAUUUCCCUUUGG